Molecule: long non-coding RNA, 1580 nt
Filed under: Bemisia tabaci
Lineage: Eukaryota; Metazoa; Arthropoda; Insecta; Hemiptera; Aleyrodidae
Description: lncRNA ENSASIAIIG006241
Source: RNAcentral
AAAAACUUUUUUUUAACACGCAGACAACUAGCUUAAAAUACUCAAGUCUGCAAAAUUCGUUUAACAAAGCAAUAGGGUUUCCUUGUGAUGGAUAAACCACUUUGAAAAUAAGUUUUCUCUCGGUAACUUGUAGCGAGGAAUGCUUUCUCAAACUUAAAAAACGCUACGAAUAGAUUUUGGAGCGAAAAAAGAGACCUCUACUUUAAAUGUUAGAUAAAACGUUGCUCAUUGAAUUGAAAAAGAGAUUAAUACCUUCAGCAAAUAAAGAUUCUGCAACGCAGGAUGGAAACCGCCCACUUCCGCAAAGUGGGUACAUCAACACAAUGAGUCACCAAUGGAUACAGCGUAUUUCAAGUAUUUUGAGUGACGACCUACGUGUUAAUCGGUUGACAUUUCACGAUUCCCAUUCUGUGAUAUUUGGAACCGCGUUUUCCAGCUUUUUAUGCUCGUGCCUUAGUGACAGAGGUUUGAAUUUCGACAUCAACGGCGCAACCUCCUCUCCAAGAAAUAUUGAAACAUAACCUCUGCACUUGAAGAACACACAAGUCAACAUAAUGUGCAUACCCGAAUUCAAUUCCUGCUUAUGUUGCAUAUCGCUGCGAACGGGUUCACUUAUCAUCGGAUGGUUCUAUACUAUUUUCAACAUUUUGGAAUUGAUAGGUUUCUCCAUAGAUUCUGGCAGCCUUUUUAAGGAAAUAUUUAAAAAUUGGAGGAGAACAGGUUUGACUAUUGUGAGAUUGAUGAUCGUUGAAUAUUACUUCGUUCUCCUCAUUUUCACGAUUUGCGCAAUUUACCUUAUUGUGGGAAUCAAAAAGGAUUCACCCAGAAAAGUACGAUAUUUUGUGGUGGCGAGUAUAGUAUCAAUUCUUAACAGCAUCAUCCUAGGUCUAAUCAUAAACCUAUCACCUUUGAAAAAAUACUCCGAUAAGCUUAUAGACGCAUCGAUUGAUCAAGCGUAUAAUUCACAUGUUACAGUUUUUGGCGUGACACUUGUCGAGCUCUUGAUUGAUGUGUAUUGCCUCCUGGUGGUUCAUAGUUAUUACAGGCAGAUGAGGCGAGAGGGCGCCACUGUCUAAGACGUUGGAACUUGGGAAGCAUCACCAAGGGAAUGACUACACUUUUCGCCGCAUACUUUUAUAUCACAUGCCAACAUUAUCACAUUCAUCAAAUCAGUAGACUUUACAUUUUUAUGCAUAAUUAAAUUAAUCACUUGUGCAGAAACAUUUUUUAUGUAAAUAAAUUAUGAGAUAGAGAUUCAACGUAUACUUUAUUAAGAUCUGAAUUUUUGGAAACUGUGGAACCGUGGUGUUGUGUGGACGCCAGGGUGUUCAUAAGAACAUAUGAUAAAGGCAAUCAUGGACACUGCACACCAAGAAAAUUUGGGUACAAUCUUGUAAAUACUUAUCAGUUUAACAAAAGAACCCCCAGAAAUGCAUUUAGCUGAAUUGCUCCUCAGUCCAUAGUUCCAGCCGAAUCUUAUGCUUCCGUUCAAUUCCAAAACACUGUAAUUUUAAACUCUAAAUGUUUCAUUUUUCCUCCGUUUAUAAUGAAAUUUUGCAAGAAUAAAUGCUUAGCAUGUC